RNAcentral lists this small nucleolar RNA (144 nucleotides) under Drosophila melanogaster (fruit fly). RNAcentral's name for it is "psi18s-1820 small nucleolar RNA". It matches the Rfam family "Small nucleolar RNA snoR639/H1". Rfam says of the family: snoR639 or snoH1 belongs to the H/ACA class of snoRNAs which are thought to guide the sites of modification of uridines to pseudouridines. snoH1 is found in an intron of the mfl gene in Drosophila. The record is from RNAcentral. Lineage: Eukaryota; Metazoa; Arthropoda; Insecta; Diptera; Drosophilidae.
UACCCCAUGAUAUUAAGCCGGCAGGUGCCUGCAAUCCCCACGGGCACCUGUGACUAUGAUUGGGAACAGCAAAGCUGCUGAUGUGUGUAUGUUGGGCAGCGCUCUUAUCCUGCGCGCUCGACAAAGAAUAUUCGGUCGACAUUU